This 492-nucleotide ribosomal RNA is filed under the name uncultured bacterium. RNAcentral's name for it is "partial 16S ribosomal RNA". It matches the Rfam family "Bacterial small subunit ribosomal RNA", at positions 29 to 507 of the family's 1533-position model. The record is from RNAcentral.
AGUGAACGCUGGCGGUAGGCCUAACACACGCAAGUCGAACGGCAGCACAGUAAGAGCUUGCUCUUACGGGUGGCGAGUGGCGGACGGGUGAGGAAUACAUCGGAAUCUACUUUUUCGUGGGGGAUAACGUAGGGAAACUUACGCUAAUACCGCAUACGACCUACGGGUGAAAGCAGGGGAUCUUCGGACCUUGCGCGAUUGAAUGAGCCGAUGUCGGAUUAGCUAGUUGGCGAGGUAAAGGCCCACCAAGGCGACGAUCCGUAGCUGGUCUGAGAGGAUGAUCAGCCACACUGGAACUGAGACACGGUCCAGACUCCUACGGGAGGCAGCAGUGGGGAAUAUUGGACAAUGGGCGCAAGCCUGAUCCAGCCAUACCGCGUGGGUGAAGAAGGCCUUCGGGUUGUAAAGCCCUUUUGUUGGGAAAGAAAAGCAGCAGGUUAAUACCCCGCUGUUCUGACGGUACCCAAAGAAUAAGCACCGGCUAACUUCGUG